CAUAAUGCUACGUUUUAUAAUUUUAUCUUUUAUAAUAACCAUAUGCAUUUAUGUUAAUCUAAUUUGGACUGAUUGUAUACAAUGUCUUAAUGCUAAAGAAAAUGUUAACAAUCAAACCGGAUGUUGUCAACAAAAUUACAUAUGUUUUGGCGGUCGGUAUUGUAGAGGUGCCGGUUUUAGGGGUCCAUAAAUUUAUC
Oppia nitens is the source of this 197-nucleotide long non-coding RNA. RefSeq lists it as uncharacterized. The record is from RefSeq and is a predicted model, not a curated record. NCBI's taxonomy places the organism in Eukaryota, Metazoa, Arthropoda, Arachnida, Sarcoptiformes, Oppiidae. The transcript has 3 exons.